Molecule: long non-coding RNA, 461 nt
Organism: Passer domesticus (house sparrow)
Lineage: Eukaryota; Metazoa; Chordata; Aves; Passeriformes; Passeridae
Exons: 4
Source: RefSeq, a predicted model, not a curated record
CUUGCCAAGUUUUACAUGCAGAUCUUCUGUUGUUUCUAGUGCUGCUGAAUAAUUCUUCCUGUUUCUCUAGCUUCUUGUCUAUGGAUGAGAAUCUUGGUGAACAGUAAAAUGUGCUGCUGUCUAAAGCCCUGAUCCUUCCAGGUUCAAUUAAGAAACCACCUUCUUUCUAUUCCCCUUCUUAGGGCUUUCUUCAUAAUCACCCUUGCAGCAGUGCACAAGACAGAAUUCUGGGCUAUAUGGAUUGACCUCCAGGCUGGCUUUUCAUGGGUCCUCUGCCAUUCUUAAUUCAGCUGGAGUCCAUGUAUCAGCUCUGCACCUCUGCACAAGGUCACUAUGCAAGACAGGGACAGACAGCAGCAACAACUUCCUGGGAAGUAACCAUUCUGUUCUUCACUGAAUUCUGGCGGCAAAUGCCACCAGAAUUACUUCAGACUCUCUCAGUAACCAUAUUACAAAAGGUA